UACGUAGGGUGCAAGCGUUAUCCGGAAUUAUUGGGCGUAAAGCGCUCGUAGGCGGUUUGUUGCGUCUGCUGUGAAAACUCGGGGCUCAACCCCCAGCCUGCAGUGGGUACGGGCAGACUAGAGUGCGGUAGGGGAGAGUGGAAUUCCUGGUGUAGCGGUGGAAUGCGCAGAUAUCAGGAGGAACACCAGUGGCGAAGGCAGAUCUCUGGGCCGUUACUGACGCUGAGGAGCGAAAGCGUGGGGAGCGAACAGG
This 253-nucleotide ribosomal RNA is filed under the name uncultured bacterium. RNAcentral's name for it is "partial 16S ribosomal RNA". It matches the Rfam family "Bacterial small subunit ribosomal RNA", at positions 524 to 776 of the family's 1533-position model. The record is from RNAcentral.